CCUACGGGCGGCAGCAGUGGGGAAUAUUGCACAAUGGGGGAAACCCUGAUGCAGCGACGCCGCGUGAGUGAAGAAGUAUUUCGGUACGUAAAGCUCUAUCAGCAGGGAAGAAAAUGACGGUACCUGACUAAGAAGCCCCGGCUAACUACGUGCCAGCAGCCGCGGUAAUACGUAGGGGGCAAGCGUUAUCUGGAUUUACUGGGUGUAAAGGGAGCGUAGACGGCAAUGCAAGCCAGGAGUGAAAGCCCGGGGCCCAACCCCGGGACUGCUCUUGAAACUGCAUGGCUGGAGUACAGGAGGGGAAGGCGGAAUUCCUGGUGUAGCGGUGAAAUGCGUAGAUAUUAGGAGGAACACCGGUGGCGAAGGCGGCCUGCUGGACUGUGACUGACGUUGAGGCCCGAAGGCGUGGGGAGCAAACAGGAUUAGAUACCCUAGUAGUC
RNAcentral lists this ribosomal RNA (440 nucleotides) under uncultured bacterium. Its description in RNAcentral is "partial 16S ribosomal RNA". It matches the Rfam family "Bacterial small subunit ribosomal RNA", at positions 338 to 795 of the family's 1533-position model. The record is from RNAcentral.